This 1014-nucleotide long non-coding RNA is filed under the name Oryctolagus cuniculus (rabbit). RNAcentral describes it as "lncRNA (ENSOCUG00000036829.1)". Lineage: Eukaryota; Metazoa; Chordata; Mammalia; Lagomorpha; Leporidae. The record is from RNAcentral.
AUGUGCGGGCCCCCCAGGAGCCCCUGUGCUCAGAGGCUGGGCGCACGGUUCCCAGAUGUCACUGAUGUCCCUGUGCUCACGGGGCCCGCCCAUGGCCAUGCACAGCUGUGGUCCAGGCACUGGAGACCACCAGGGGCGGGCGCAAGUCCCAGAGCCCGUGCCCAGCCUACGCUUGUACCACCACGGACAGCGGCUGUGAAGCCCCGGGCCGUAGAAGCUCCAGGCUCCCAUCUCACGCAGAGACCCGGCUUGCGGCCUCAGUCGUCUCUGCAGGGCAAUGGGCGGCGGGCGAAGCCCCCACGGCCCCUCUGCAGCGCCCCGCCUCCCCUUCCCGACCGGCCCGCCCCUGGGUCACGUGUCGCGCGGGGGUUUUCCCGUUCCCCUGCCUUGAUGAUGUCACCGCGGCGAGCGGGCCAAUGGGCGCGCAGAACGGCGGCGCCUGGGAAUUCCGCAGCCCCCCUCCCCGUGCCCCCCAGCAGCCCCGGGCACCGCGCGUCCUGCCCCGCCUGCGGCCCCAGCCCCUGCGACGCUUGUCCGGGCCGCGAUCCUCCGCGGGACAGCUCGCGUGCGCACUUGGGUCUGGGCCGGCCUCCGAGCCGUGCGUCCCCGCUGGCCGGGCCAUGCGAGCCGCCGCGUCGCCAGACAGCCCGCUGCACCGGAGCUGGGGCCCUGGGUAAGCGGAGCCCGGGUUGGGAGAGGGCUGGGGGGGCUCCCGCUGAACGCUGGGGGCGGUGCGGAGACGCUGCGCUCAGGGGAGAAAGCCGCAGAGUAGGAGAAGGGUACAGCCCUAGGUGCGGGCGAGGUUUCCCAGCGAGGAGUGAGAAGUGGGCGGGGCCUGACCCUGAGGCGGACAAGGGGCGGGGCUCCGAGAGGCGAGGGGGAGGGGCCUGGCCCGCGGGGGCGGGGCCUGCGCGCCAGGAUGGGACAGGGUCUGGGCCCAGCGUAAAGAAGGAAGCGUGGCGCAGUGGGAGGGCCGAGGGGGCGGGGCAUGCCGACGGGAACGCCCCGCGAUGA